Molecule: ribosomal RNA, 464 nt
Filed under: uncultured bacterium
Lineage: Bacteria
Description: partial 16S ribosomal RNA
Rfam family: Bacterial small subunit ribosomal RNA
Source: RNAcentral
CUACGGGGGGCAGCAGUGGGGAAUAUUGCACAAUGGGCGCAAGCCUGAUGCAGCCAUGCCGCGUGUAUGAAGAAGGCCUUCGGGUUGUAAAGUACUUUCAGUAGGGAGGAAGGUGGUUAAGUUAAUACCUUAAUCAUUUGACGUUACCUACAGAAGAAGCACCGGCUAACUCCGUGCCAGCAGCCGCGGUAAUACGGAGGGUGCAAGCGUUAAUCGGAAUUACUGGGCGUAAAGCGCGUGCAGGUGGUUUGUUAAGUCAGAUGUGAAAGCCCUGGGCUCAACCUAGGAAUCGCAUUUGAAACUGACAAGCUAGAGUACUGUAGAGGGGGGUAGAAUUUCAGGUGUAGCGGUGAAAUGCGUAGAGAUCUGAAGGAAUACCGGUGGCGAAGGCGGCCCCCUGGACAGAUACUGACACUCAGAUGCGAAAGCGUGGGGAGCAAACAGGAUUAGAUACCCGUGUAGUC